CUGGGUUCAGAACGUCGUGAGACAGUUCGGUCCAUAUCCAUCGCGGGCGUAAGAGAUUUGAAGGGAGCUGCUCCUAGUACGAGAGGACCGGAGUGGACGAACCAACGGUGUACCAGUUAUGACGCCAGUUGUACAGCUGGGUAGCUGCGUUCGGAAGGGAUAAACGCUGAAAGCAUCUAAGCGUGAAACCCGCCUUGAGAUGAGAUCUCUCACAGAGUAAUCUGGUAAGACUCCUUAUAGACGAUGAGGUAGAUAGGCUGGAAGUGGAAGCGUGGUGACAUGUGAAGCGGACCAGUACUAAUAAGUCGAGGGCUUAACUU
RNAcentral lists this ribosomal RNA (320 nucleotides) under Anaerovibrio lipolyticus DSM 3074. RNAcentral's name for it is "bacterial LSU rRNA". It matches the Rfam family "Bacterial large subunit ribosomal RNA", at positions 2605 to 2925 of the family's 2925-position model. Lineage: Bacteria; Bacillati; Bacillota; Negativicutes; Selenomonadales; Selenomonadaceae. The record is from RNAcentral.